This 160-nucleotide RNase P RNA is filed under the name Escherichia sp. S69_ASV_4. RNAcentral describes it as "partial RNase P RNA component class A". It matches the Rfam family "Bacterial RNase P class A", at positions 194 to 367 of the family's 367-position model. From Rfam's summary of the family: Ribonuclease P (RNase P) is a ubiquitous endoribonuclease, found in archaea, bacteria and eukarya as well as chloroplasts and mitochondria. Its best characterised activity is the generation of mature 5'-ends of tRNAs by cleaving the 5'-leader elements of precursor-tRNAs. The record is from RNAcentral. Lineage: Bacteria; Pseudomonadati; Pseudomonadota; Gammaproteobacteria; Enterobacterales; Enterobacteriaceae.
GUCCGUGGCACGGUAAACUCCACCCGGAGCAAGGCCAAAUAGGGGUUCAUAAGGUACGGCCCGUACUGAACCCGGGUAGGCUGCUUGAGCCAGUGAGCGAUUGCUGGCCUAGAUGAAUGACUGUCCACGACAGAACCCGGCUUAUCGGUCAGUUUCACCU